UUUUUUUCUUUGUUUCUGCUUUAUUUGACUGAAUUCGAUUUCUCUCAUACAUCUCCUUUUUUCCAUAGGAUUAUUCUUUAAUACAAUCAAUGCCUAUGAUUCUCCGUCUCACAAACACUCAAGGAACAACGACAAAUUUUGGCUUCUCAUCUAAACAGUUGCCUUAAAACAAGGGUGAGUUUAAUAUCUUAAUCGAAGCUCAAGUGUUUUUUUAAUGGUAAAUUAAUUCUCAUACUUUUUACUAUUCUUCUUUCAUCUCUUAUUUUACUUCUUUAUAUCUGCAAUUUCUUUUUUGUAUUAAACCGCAAUUGUAUUUUCACGCAAGAUUUUUGUAUU
Molecule: small RNA, 336 nt
Filed under: Arabidopsis thaliana (thale cress)
Lineage: Eukaryota; Viridiplantae; Streptophyta; Magnoliopsida; Brassicales; Brassicaceae
Description: ATSL176710
Source: RNAcentral